AAGAGAAGAACAUAUAAGGAUAGCCAAGGAGACUGCCUGAUAUCUUUUUUAUAAGCAAAAUGGUCAUUGCUUGAUACAACUUAUAGUGACUUCAAACAAGACACUAAACAUUUUACACAAAGAGUCAGGCAAGUCAUCCUUGGCUACCAAAUAUGAUUCUUCUAU
Molecule: microRNA precursor, 165 nt
Organism: Arabidopsis thaliana (thale cress)
Lineage: Eukaryota; Viridiplantae; Streptophyta; Magnoliopsida; Brassicales; Brassicaceae
Source: Rfam